Long non-coding RNA from Lycium barbarum (goji berry), 642 nucleotides. RefSeq lists it as uncharacterized. Lineage: Eukaryota; Viridiplantae; Streptophyta; Magnoliopsida; Solanales; Solanaceae. The record is from RefSeq and is a predicted model, not a curated record. The transcript is spliced from 3 exons.
UAAGACCCUAUGGGUCCCACAAGAGAAUGAUAAUGUUUAUAAGAAUGGUGGAAGAAAUAAUUACAUGGUUGUAGCAUUCCUUUUGGAUAAAUAAGUUGGAAAGGGCCAAAGAAAACGUAGCAGCAAACAUUUCCAAUUUGGAGGAUCCAUUAUAAUAAAACUGUUCUUAGUUUUGAAGUCCAAUUGCUCUAGGCCAAGCAUUUGUUUUGGAGACGCUAUUUCGACAAGAAUUUCAAGUAUGCAAGAGUGAAAAUUAAGGUUUUCCUCCACCUAUUGAGGUAACGACGUGACAUUGGGGGAGGGCAAAUGAAUGAUAACAUAGCUAAACGACAAAGGUAGACAGGGAGGUGAGCUUGGUCCAGACCCUUAGUAGCUGUCAGCUGAUUGAGAGCACUCCAUUGUCCGGAGGUGCUUAUGAUUCUUCUUUUGGUAUAUAUGCAUAUUUUGGGCACGACGGAGUCUUGUUCCGUCUAUAUGUUUAGUAUGUCAGUAGAGGCUCGUAGAUACGCAGUGUGGGUCAGAUGGUCUCACAAGAUGUUAUUAUUAUGUAUAUAUUAUUUUGAUGGCCGAGAGGCAAAUGUAUAUAAGUAUUUAUGUUUCUAUAUAAAAUAUGAUUUUCCUACAAUUCGUGUAUAAAAUUGG